UACGGGGGGAGCAAGCGUUGUUCGGAUUUACUGGGCGUAAAGGGCGCGUAGGCGGCCAGCACAAGUCAGUUGUGAAAUCUCCGAGCUUAACUCGGAAAGGUCAACUGAUACUGUGCGGCUAGAGUGCGGAAGGGGCAACUGGAAUUCUUGGUGUAGCGGUGAAAUGCGUAGAUAUCGAGAGGAACACCUGCGGCGAAGGCGGGUUGCUGGGCCGACACUGACGCUGAGGCGCGAAAGCCAGGGGAGCAAACGGG
RNAcentral lists this ribosomal RNA (254 nucleotides) under uncultured bacterium. RNAcentral describes it as "partial 16S ribosomal RNA". It matches the Rfam family "Bacterial small subunit ribosomal RNA", at positions 524 to 776 of the family's 1533-position model. The record is from RNAcentral.